This 253-nucleotide ribosomal RNA is filed under the name uncultured bacterium. RNAcentral's name for it is "partial 16S ribosomal RNA". It matches the Rfam family "Bacterial small subunit ribosomal RNA", at positions 524 to 776 of the family's 1533-position model. The record is from RNAcentral.
UACGGAGGGUGCAAGCGUUACCCGGAAUCACUGGGCGUAAAGGGCAUGUAGGCGGUUAUUUAAGUCUGGAUUUAAAGACCGAGGCUCAACCUCGGGAAUGGUCUGGAUACUGGAUGACUGGACGACUGGAGGGGAGAGUGGAAUUCUCGGUGUAGCGGUGGAAUGCGUAGAUACCGAGAGGAACACCAGUGGCGAAGGCGGCUCUCUGGACAGUGCGUGACGCUGAGGUGCGAAAGUGUGGGGAGCAAACCGG